UACGGGGGGAGCAAGCGUUGUUCGGAUUUACUGGGCGUAAAGGGCGCGUAGGCGGCCAGCACAAGUCAGUUGUGAAAUCUCCGAGCUUAACUCGGAAAGGUCAACUGAUACUGUGCGGCUAGAGUGCGGAAGGGGCAACUGGAAUUCUUGGUGUAGCGGUGAAAUGCGUAGAUAAUCGAAGAGGAACACCUGCGGCGAAGGCGG
This 204-nucleotide ribosomal RNA is filed under the name uncultured bacterium. Its description in RNAcentral is "partial 16S ribosomal RNA". It matches the Rfam family "Bacterial small subunit ribosomal RNA", at positions 524 to 724 of the family's 1533-position model. The record is from RNAcentral.